Polypterus senegalus (gray bichir) is the source of this 589-nucleotide long non-coding RNA. RefSeq lists it as uncharacterized. The record is from RefSeq and is a predicted model, not a curated record. NCBI's taxonomy places the organism in Eukaryota, Metazoa, Chordata, Cladistia, Polypteriformes, Polypteridae. The transcript is spliced from 3 exons.
AAACCAUUCAACUGCUACAAGGUCUGAAGGUCUUUUGUAAGGGCACGCUCAGCUGUGGCUAUCUCAGCUGCCUUCUUAAUUUCACAUUUACCCAGCCCUUCCUUUGAACUGUAUUAUGGGGAUUCUAAAAGAGACGAGAGAAAAGGCCUCUGUAUAGUCACCGCAUUAUGCAAACUGGUGGUCCAGGCCAGGAGAGUUGGCAGACAGUGGUGCUCUCUGUUACCUAGCAGGAAGCACAGGAUAGCCUCUUUCAGUGGUGCUGGGAGACUUGUGGCCUGGGGCUAGGUUUUCAACCCUGUGGGUUGGCAGCAAGCUGGGAACACUGUACUUUGUCAGGAAUGAAGCCGUGGGAGCAGACCUUGAAAGGGCGAUAGCCUGGCCUCCAGUAAGUGGUGCUUUUGAGAGGAAGAAAAUUGGUAGCUGAAGUUUAAUGAAUUCAAGAAUUAAGACAGGGAUCCCACACCCACUCCAACCCAACCCCCAGACUGAAGGAGGAUCACCCUGUGUCUUCCAGGAUUUUAGUAAAUUCAUGAGUCUGCAGGAAUAGAGACCUCUGCUGUUUGACAACGUUUACACACAAUGCCCUGAC